Molecule: long non-coding RNA, 446 nt
Filed under: Malus domestica (apple)
Lineage: Eukaryota; Viridiplantae; Streptophyta; Magnoliopsida; Rosales; Rosaceae
Description: long non-coding RNA (MDOM_LNC015541)
Source: RNAcentral
AGUCGAAGUGGUUAGAGAACCUAUCCAGUUACAACUACAAUGCAAUACGGCCAUUCUCUAAUACAAUACUCUUAAUCACAUUGUUUGAGUGAUAGUUUGUUUCAUGUCUACUAUCCAAUGUGAUACUUCUCUAUAUGAUUCAAUUGAAUAUGAUUUGGAACAAACUUCCUAACUCAUAUUCAUAUGCUUUGGCCAAAGACUCUCGAAUCAUAUCUUAGAGUAUUCUCCUUCUACUAUGGAAGGUUAGAGAUCCCUUGUUGUGCAUUCAUAUGCCUACAUGACUAGAUAGCUUGACCCCAACAAUGCCAUGGACAUUCUCAAUGGAAUGCCUUUGACAUGAUCAAAGAUCAAGGACCUAACCAUUAGACAUCUAUGAUACCUCAGGUCAAAGGACUACUUUGCAUAUUGCAACUUACGAGUUCUUACAUGACAUGUAUGUUCGAACU